RNAcentral lists this ribosomal RNA (433 nucleotides) under uncultured bacterium. Its description in RNAcentral is "partial 16S ribosomal RNA". It matches the Rfam family "Bacterial small subunit ribosomal RNA", at positions 29 to 507 of the family's 1533-position model. The record is from RNAcentral.
AACGAACGCUGGCGGCAUGCCUAACACAUGCAAGUCGAACGAGACCUUCGGGUCUAGUGGCGCACGGGUGCGUAACGCGUGGGAACCUGCCCUUAGGUUCGGAAUCACUCCCCGAAAGGGGUGCUAAUACCGGAUAAUGUCUUCGGACCAAAGAUUUUUCGCCUUUGGAUGGGCCCGCGUUGGAUUAGCUAGUUGGUAGGGUAAAAGCCUGCCAAGGCGACGAUCCAUAGCUGGUCGGAGAGGAUGAUCAGCCACACUGGGACUGAGACACGGCCCAGACUCCUACGGGAGGCAGCAGUGUGGAAUAUUGGACAAGGAGCGAAAGCCUAAUCCAGCAAUGCGGCGUGAGUGAUGAAGGCCGUAGGGUUGUAAAGCUGUUUGACCCGGGAUGAUAAUGACAGUACCGGGAGAAGAAGCUCCGGCUAACUCCGUG